Molecule: long non-coding RNA, 443 nt
Filed under: Heterocephalus glaber (naked mole-rat)
Lineage: Eukaryota; Metazoa; Chordata; Mammalia; Rodentia; Bathyergidae
Description: lncRNA (ENSHGLG00000028767.2)
Source: RNAcentral
GGAUCUCUGACCCUGGAGAGAGUGGGUCACGGUUAGAGGGAGGGGUGAGGGGUGAGACGUGGAGCGAGGAGACGAACCAAACACUUCCACGUUAGUUCCAGUAACUUCGGUGGAAAUUGCGAUGGCAACAAGGUACCAGAACGAUUGAUGGUGUAGAAAGAGCGGGACAGCGUUGAAUAGGAUAAAAGGUCUAACGGAAGUGUGUCAUUUGUGCAGCUCCUCGUUAGUAUAGUGUAAUAAAAGUCUCUCAGUUGGACACAUGGUUGCCCAGAAAAAGAUUACAUUUCCCUUCCAGUUUUGCAUUUAUAACAUGCAGUUUGUUACCUGAAAUAUAGAGUUGAUGGAUAGAGCUCUAACUGCCAUAUUGUAUCAGGAGUUUGGAGCCACAGGAGCUGGAAAGACAGGAGGAGCGUGACAUAGGAAUAGCCAGGUUUCUGGAGGUC